Molecule: ribosomal RNA, 253 nt
Filed under: uncultured prokaryote
Description: partial 16S ribosomal RNA
Rfam family: Bacterial small subunit ribosomal RNA
Source: RNAcentral
ACGAAGGGUGCAAGCGUUACUCGGAAUUACUGGGCGUAAAGCGUGCGUAGGUGGUCUGCUAAGUCAGACGUGAAAUCCCUCAGCUUAACUGGGGAACUGCGUCUGAGACUGGCGGACUUGAGGACAGGAGAGGAACGCGGAAUUCCAGGUGUAGCGGUGAAAUGCGUAGAUAUCUGGAGGAACACCGGUGGCGAAGGCGGCGUUCUGGACUGUUUCUGACACUGAUAGACGAAAGCCAGGGGAGCAAACGGGA